CUGAGGGCUGGGCACAGGGGUCCCAGUCCCAAACCCGUCGGCUAUCGGCGGACAGCUCGAGCAGCUCCCGUGGCGAGAGCGGGUCACCGCAUGCUGGCCGGGGGAUGGACUGGGAACGGUUCCUUCGGGGGCCUUCCCCGGGCAUCGAACAACCAACUUAGAACUGGUACGGACAAGGGGAAUCCGACUGUUUAAUUAAAACAAAGCAUUGCGAUGGUCCCUGCGGAUGUUUAUGCAAUGUGAUUUCUACCCAGUGCUCUGAAUGUCAAAGUGAAGAAAUUCAACCAAACGCGGGUUAACGAAGGGAGUAACUAUGACUCUCUUAAGGUAGCCAAAUGCCUCGUCAUCUAAUUAAUGACGCGUAUGAAUGGAUUAACGAGAUUCCCAUUG
This 390-nucleotide ribosomal RNA is filed under the name Nicotiana attenuata. RNAcentral describes it as "rRNA LSU_rRNA_eukarya". It matches the Rfam family "Eukaryotic large subunit ribosomal RNA", at positions 1954 to 2341 of the family's 3401-position model. The record is from RNAcentral. Lineage: Eukaryota; Viridiplantae; Streptophyta; Magnoliopsida; Solanales; Solanaceae.